UUUUUUAUACAUUAGCGGAGGAAAGAAACCAACAGGGAUUGCCCUAGUAACGGCGAGUGAAGCGGCAAAAGCUCAGAUUUGAAAUCUGUCGCCAUUUUGGCGGCCGAGUUGUAGUCUGUAGAGGUGUAUUCGAGUGUGGCUUUGGCUUAAGUUCCUUGGAACAGGGCGUCAUAGAGGGUGAGAACCCCGUUAACGGCCUUUGUCUUAUGCUCAUGUGAAUCUCCUUCAACGAGUCGAGUUGUUUGGGAAUGCAGCUCUAAAUGGGUGGUAAAUUCCAUCUAAAGCUAAAUACUGGCAAGAGACCGAUAGCGCACAAGUAGAGUGAUCGAAAGAUGAAAAGAACUCUGAACAGAGAGUUAAAUAGUACGUGAAAUUGUUGAAAGGGAAGCACUUCCGACCAGACGCACUUGCAGCCGAUCAAUCUUCAUUCUUGAGGGUGCACUCGGUUGUCUGUGGGUCAGCAUCAGUUAUGGCGGUGGGAAAAAGACUAAGGGAAUGUGGCUCCUUUCGGGGAGUGUUAUAGCCUUUGGUGCAAUGCUGCCUGCUGUGACUGAGGACCGCGCUUCGGUGAGGAUGCUGGCAUAAUGGUCGUAAGUGACCCGUCUUGAAACACGGACCAAGGAGUCUAACAUCUAUGCGAGUGUUUGGGUGUUCAAACCCUUACGCGGAAUGAAAGUAAAUGGAGGUGGGAACCGUAAGGUGCACCAUCGACCGAUCCUGAUGUUUUCGGAUGGAUUUGAGUAGGAGCAUAGCUGUUGGGACCCGAAAGAUGGUGAACUAUGCCUGAAUAGGGUGAAGCCAGAGGAAACUCUGGUGGAGGCUCGCAGCGGUUCUGACGUGCAAAUCGAUCGUCAAAUUUGGGUAUAGGGGCGAAAGACAAUCAACCUUGC
This 890-nucleotide ribosomal RNA is filed under the name Legaliana limnaea. RNAcentral describes it as "LSU rRNA". It matches the Rfam family "Eukaryotic large subunit ribosomal RNA", at positions 33 to 944 of the family's 3401-position model. Lineage: Eukaryota; Fungi; Ascomycota; Pezizomycetes; Pezizales; Pezizaceae. The record is from RNAcentral.